UACGUAGGGGGCAAGCGUUGUCCGGAAUCAUUGGGCGUAAAGCGCGUGUAGGCGGUUCGAUCAGUCUGCUGUGAAAGUCCGGGGCUCAACCCCGGAAAGCCGGUGGAUACUGUCGAGCUAGAGUGCGGAAGAGGCGAGUGGAAUUCCUGGUGUAGCGGUGAAAUGCGCAGAUAUCAGGAGGAACACCAAUUGCGAAGGCAGCUCGCUGGGACGUUACUGACGCUGAGACGCGAAAGCGUGGGGAGCAAACAGG
Molecule: ribosomal RNA, 253 nt
Filed under: uncultured bacterium
Lineage: Bacteria
Description: partial 16S ribosomal RNA
Rfam family: Bacterial small subunit ribosomal RNA
Source: RNAcentral